Molecule: small RNA, 914 nt
Filed under: Pongo abelii (Sumatran orangutan)
Lineage: Eukaryota; Metazoa; Chordata; Mammalia; Primates; Hominidae
Description: processed transcript
Source: RNAcentral
ACCUCCAAGGCUCAAGCAAUUCUCCUGCCUCACCUGGAGCCACAGGUGUACAUGUUCCUGGUGAAAUGGCAGGACCUGUCAGAGAAGGUGGUCUACCGGCGCUUCACCGAGAUCUAUGAGUUCCAUGCAUGAGCCACCAUGCUCAGCCUUUUAGGUGGUUUUGAGAGGUAUUUAGGUUUGCAGUGCAGGGGCACACUCAUAGCUCACUGCAGCCUCAACGUCUGGGGCUCAAGCAAUCCUCCUGCCUCAGCCUCCUGAGUAGCUGGGACUGUAGAAAACCUUAAAAGAAAUGUUCCCUAUUGAGGCAGGGGCAAUCAAUGCAGAGAACAGGAUCAUCCCCCACCUCCCAGCUCCCAAGUGGUACGAUGGGCAACGGGCCGCCGAGAACCGCCAGGGCACGCUUACCGAGUACUGCAGCAUGCUCAUGAGCCUGCCCACCAAGAUCUCCCGCUGUCCCCACCUCCUCGACUUCUUCAAGGUGCGCCCCGAUGACCUCAAGCUCCCCACGGACAACCAGACAAAAAAGCCAGAGACAUACUUGAUGCCCAAAGAUAGCAAGAGUACCGCGACAGACAUCACUGGCCCCAUCAUCCUGCAGACGUACCGUGCCAUUGCCGACUAUGAGAAGACCUCGGGCUCCGAGAUGGCUCUGUCCGCGGGUGACGUGGUGGAGGUCGUGGAGAAGAGCGAGAGCGGUUGGUGGUUCUGUCAGAUGAAAGCAAAGCGAGGCUGGAUCCCAGCGUCCUUCCUCGAGCCCCUGGAAAGUCCCGACGAGACGGAAGACCCUGAGCCCAACUAUGCAGGUGAGCCGUACGUCGCCAUCAAGGCCUACAAUGCGGUGGAGGGGGACGAGGUGUCCCUGCUCGAGGGUGAAGCUGUUGAGGUCAUUCACAAGCUCCUGGACGGCUGGUGGG